AAACUUUUGGAGUAUAUAAUGGUGAUUAGUCUUCUCUUUUAAUAGAAGAAAGUAAUCAAAAAUGGUUAAAAUGGCUUCCUAUGCGAUCCCAAUCCUUUUCCUCAUUUUAUUUGCAUCUUAUAAUACUGGUAUUGCUCAAACAACUCGAGUCCCCAAAACCAUGGUACUUGCAGAUGAAAAUAAAGAGAACCCAAGGGUUAUUGGAGAAAGUAAAACUGGAACAGGCGAUCAUGAUUCACACCCCGGCGGACCAGGCGGCGGUGGGUGAUAUUUUUUCAUACAUAUAGAAAAUAAGUGCAUACUGUGUACAAGUUCCAAAUUAGUGCACACGGUUUACAAGUUUCAAAUUACGAAUU
Molecule: non-coding RNA, 356 nt
Organism: Jatropha curcas
Lineage: Eukaryota; Viridiplantae; Streptophyta; Magnoliopsida; Malpighiales; Euphorbiaceae
Source: RefSeq, a predicted model, not a curated record